CGACGAAAAAAUAAUCUCUGAGCCUUCUUCGAUUGAAUACCAUAAAUAACGAAUCCACAAAACUUCCCAUAAACAACAAACAAUUGACUUUUUUAAACUCUCCUUAUUGAUAUAAGAGAUGUGAUUUGUGAUUCUGAAUCGGUAAUUUGAAAUAUAAUAUCGCUUCAUGAUUCUCAAAGAUAUUACUCUCCAGCCUAGAAGAUCUUUACUUUGCAACCCAAAAGCUUGACCAAACAACACCAUCUCCCGUAAUCUUCCCAAAUCAUGAUAUCUUAAUAUAUUCAAAAACCAAUUACGGUUGCGCAACCUCUUUCCACACUUAAACACCCACUGAAUCCACUCGUUUCCAUUAUCAAACCAAACACCAACAUUAAAGAUUCCAAUCACCGUGGAGCAAAG
Molecule: long non-coding RNA, 399 nt
Filed under: Capsella rubella
Lineage: Eukaryota; Viridiplantae; Streptophyta; Magnoliopsida; Brassicales; Brassicaceae
Description: long non-coding RNA (CRUB_LNC001578)
Source: RNAcentral